Molecule: ribosomal RNA, 254 nt
Filed under: uncultured bacterium
Lineage: Bacteria
Description: partial 16S ribosomal RNA
Rfam family: Bacterial small subunit ribosomal RNA
Source: RNAcentral
GACGAACCGAGCGAACGUUGUCCGGAAUUAUUGGGCGUAAAGAGCUCGUAGGCGGUCUGUCGCGUCGGUCGUGAAAACUUGGGGCUUAACCCUGAGCUUGCGGUCGAUACGGGCAUGACUGGAGUUCGGUAGGGGAGACUGGAAUUCCUGGUGUAGCGGUGAAAUGCGCAGAUAUCAGGAGGAACACCGGUGGCGAAGGCGGGUCUCUGGGCCGAUACUGACGCUGAGGAGCGAAAGCGUGGGGAGCGAACAGG